This is a long non-coding RNA of Amborella trichopoda, 3045 nucleotides long. RefSeq lists it as uncharacterized. The record is from RefSeq and is a predicted model, not a curated record. NCBI's taxonomy places the organism in Eukaryota, Viridiplantae, Streptophyta, Magnoliopsida, Amborellales, Amborellaceae.
CGCUGAUUUAAAGGGGCAAAAUCGACACCCACGAUUGGAUCCCGCGGCAAUUGUCGAAAAUUUGGUUUAAAAUUGGGUACUGACAUCGGGCAGGGUACUGACAUCUCUCUGAUCGAACACGACGAUUGGAAGAGCUUUCUCUCUCUUCGCUAAACAAAGGGUUGAAGCUUUCUCUAUGUUCUCUUUCUUCGCUGAAAAAAGGGUUGAAGCUCUUCUCUGUGUUCUCUCUCUCUUCGCUGGAAAAGGGUUUCUCUCUCAUCGGCACGAUUGGAAGAGAGUUCUCAUCGGGCACGAUUGGAAGAGUUUUCUCUCUCUUCGCUGAAAAAGGAUUGAACCUCUUCUCUGUGUUCUCUCUUUCUUCGCUGAAAAAAGGGUUGAAGCUCUUCUCUGUGGUUUCUCUCUCCAAUGAAAAAAGGGUUUCUCUACUAAAACGGUGCUCCCUCUUCCCUUAGCUUCAACUCAACGAGGUAUGCCUACGCUCUCUCUCUCUCUCGGGUUUUUCUUUUUACUUUUCCAGCCCUCCCUCUGGUUUUCAAAAUCCCCAAAGCCCAGUAAAACCCCCAAUCCCUAAAUCGUGUAGUUUUUUUCCCAAAUUGCUGGCCAAAUAUAGGUUUAAACCCAAAUUUCAUCUUCGUUUUUUGGCCAAAUUUCUGAUUUUUAAUAGCAUUUUCCCCAAAUUUCGUUUUCGUUUUUUAACCCAGAUUUUCUGCAAUACUGAGCAAAACCCCCAAAUCCCCAAGGAAGCUCAGAUUUUUGUACACGUUUAUACAGAUUUUUUGCCCAUAUUUUGUUUUCAUUUCUUACCCAGAUUUUCUGUAGUACUGAGUGAACUUCUGCCCAAAUUUUGUUUUCAUCUUCGUUUUUUGCCCAAAUUUCUGGCCCGAUUUUUUGUAGCAUUUUGCCCAAAUUUUUUUUACGUUUUUUGUCCAGAAUUUCUGUAAUACUGAGCAAAACACCCCUGUGUAUGUAUGGAAGCAUUUUUUAAGGGCCUACAUGGUUCUUGAGUAUUUGGCCUGCUGAAAUUCCUGAUUAAAACCCACAACUGUUUUCGGACAUUUUAUGUGCCGAACAAACCCUAGAUUUCAACUAAAGCCAACAAUUUUUGGGCAGAUGAUUAAUUUUUCUGAAAUAUGUUUUGUAUUUCCCGAUCAUAGACAGAGGAUUAAUAUUUUCUUUUUGAGGAAUUAUCAUAGACACGUGAUUAAUUGUUUAUUGUUCGCAGAUAUUUGGUCAAAUAUAGCACCUUAUGAUUUGGAAUUAUUAUUUGGUUAUGUGAUAUAUAUGAGUUGGAAUUAUUAUUUGGUUAUGUGAUAUAUUGAAGAUAUCCAUAGUGAUGCAUUUACCGUCCUAGUAUUACGUUUGGAGCUUGAAAUGAGUGGAGUCAAUGUUUCUUGUCCUGAUUUUUUUAUAGCAAUUUUAUUUCUUUUUUUUUUGGCAAACAUAUGAUUUUUGACCCUGUGUAUAUAUGGUAGCAUGACUUACACUCAUAUUUAAGUGCCUACAUGGUUCUUGAUUUUUUGACCUUAUGAAAUUCCAAGAGUAAUUUAUGCCUAUAUAUUAUGUUUGGAGCUUGAAAUGAGUGGAGUCAAUGUUUCUUAUCCUGAUUUUUGUAUAGCAAUUUCAUUUCCUUUUUUUGGCAAACAUAUGGUUUUUAACCCUGUGUAUAUAUAGUAGCAUGACUUAUACUCAUAUAUAAGGGCCUACAUGAUUCUUGAUUAUUUGGCCUGCUGAAUUUCAAGAGUAACUGAUGCUUAUGUAGUAUGUUUGGAGCUUGAAAUGAGUGGAGUCAAUGUUUCUUACCCAGAUUUUUUCAUAACAAUUUCAUUUCAUUUUUUUGGAGUCAACUGCAUACCUUUACAUUAUUUUUAUUUGCAAUUGUUUUAUCCUCAUUAUUGUUGAUGUAUUUGAUUGACACUUGUAUUAGCUUCAAUUUAAUUGCUAACAUAUGAAUUUAUCUUCUUCUUACAAACAAAACACAUCGUAUACUUUGGAUCCAUAAGAAGUGAGUUGAUGCCUGGUUGAUUUAAAGUUUGAAUUAGGAUAUGCUUUUGUCAUCUUAACAUCAGCUGUUCAUAAAUCGAGAAGAUAUGAAUUCCUUGGAGGUAUUCUUUUAAACAAUAUCUUUUUCAUGAUCCUAGCAACUUCUUUUUUUUUUCAUGAUCUGUGCAAGUUAUGUUAAUUUGUCCGCGUCUUUAUGUAGUUCUGUGUCGGAGAAAGUGAAAGCAAAGCUGCACAUGCUUUAAUUCCUUCUCUCUCUAUACAAUGUGUUGUAUGCUAAAGAUUUUGUUGUUGCAUGUUUGUACUUAUUUUUCAUAUAUGGAUGGGGAUGAAUUCUAGAAUGCGUAUGUCUUUUUCUUACUUGCUUUCCCUACUGAGGAUUUCUAGUAGUUCUUGCUACUAGUCCAUGUGGAACAGAUUCUCUCUUUAAUGUCUUUAUACGGAUAAUCUCUCUCUCUCUCUUUAAACUCUUCAUAUGGAUAAUCUCUCUCUCUCUCUUGAAUGUCUUCUUGGUGGUUCUUGAUAUGGAGCUCUUUGCAUUUGGAUUUCUUAAGCACGACGGUUUCAUAAGUUUAAUGGGGAAGCAGUUGGUAUACAUUAAAACUAUUUAUUACUUGGUGAACCUUCUAAUGAGUUCUACACCUGAGAAUUUCAUGAAUCUUGUUAUAAGAGAGAAAAACUACAAUGCUUUGGACAACAAGAAAGUGGCUUGCAUUUGUGAAAAGUUCAAGGAUUCGCAAGACAGCCUAUUGGGAAGCUUAGCAAGCCGAAAUUCGAAGCAAACUACACAAAGAAGGUCAAUGGAUGCGUUGAAAUAAUUGAAGGACCUCAGCUGAUGAAUUUGCCAGGUGGAAGGAUGGCCUUAAAGGAUCCUUAAAAGUUCAUUUAUUUUUAUUUACUUUUUAUACCCUUUCGAAAUAUAUAUGUUUUUUGUAUGUAGGAAUUUCUGCAUUGGACUGCCAUUGUUGUUUGUUUAUUUUUGGGAAAUUUGGAUGCUUUCCUGAGUAGUGUUGACCAUAUUUUGGCAUGUUAUUUCAGUGGUACAAA